CCUUCCCCGGGGAGCUCCCGCAGUCGUUUUCCGCUUCUGAACGCCAUCUUGCGCCUCAACCGUGGGCGCACGGGACUCGACGCCGGGUCAUGGCCUAGCACCUCCGCCCCGCUGCCGCAGCAUCCUCUACGAGGCGUCGUCCCCCGUGGCCGUCGCUGCUGCCCGCUGGCAUGACGACGCCUCCACGUUCCAGCCCGCAACACUGGCAGCAAGGCCAACAGCAG
This 224-nucleotide long non-coding RNA is filed under the name Setaria viridis. RNAcentral describes it as "long non-coding RNA (SVIR_LNC000984)". The record is from RNAcentral. Lineage: Eukaryota; Viridiplantae; Streptophyta; Magnoliopsida; Poales; Poaceae.